RNAcentral lists this ribosomal RNA (245 nucleotides) under uncultured bacterium. RNAcentral's name for it is "partial 16S ribosomal RNA". It matches the Rfam family "Bacterial small subunit ribosomal RNA", at positions 528 to 772 of the family's 1533-position model. The record is from RNAcentral.
UAGGAGGCAAGCGUUAUCCGGAAUGACUGGGCGUAAAGGGUGCGUAGGUGGUUUGACAAGUUGGUAGCGUAACUCCGGAGCUUAACUUCGGAACUACUACCAAAACUGUCGGACUUGAGUGCAGGAGGGGCAACUGGAAUUUCUAGUGUAGCGGUGGAAUGCGUAGAUAUUAGGAAGAACACCGGUGGCGAAGGCGAGUUGCUGGACUGUAACUGACACUGAGGCACGAAAGCGUGGGGAGCAAA